Molecule: transfer RNA, 56 nt
Filed under: Cucujoidea sp. 42 KM-2017
Lineage: Eukaryota; Metazoa; Arthropoda; Insecta; Coleoptera
Description: tRNA-Ser
Source: RNAcentral
GAAAUAUCAAAAUUAAGCUUCUAACUUAAAAUUUAGCAAUUCUUGUUAAUAUUUCU